AGCAGCCGCGGUAAUUCCAGCUCCAAUAGCGUAUAUUAAAGUUGUUGCAGUUAAAAGCUCGUAGUUGAAUUUCGGGAUUAACGUAAUGGUCGUGCCUUAAGGGGUAUGAACUGUUACUGUUGAUUUCUCACCUUCUGGAGAAUCUUGAUGUCCUUAAUUGGGUGUCUUGUGGAUCCAGGACCUUUACCUUGAAAAAUUGAGUGUUUAAAGCAGGCAUUUUACUCGAAUACAUUAGCAUGGAAUAAUAGAAUAGGACGGCAUGGUUCUAUUUUGUUGGUUUCUAGGAUCACCGUAAUGAUUAAUAGGGAUAGUUGGGGGCAUUAGUAUUCAAUUGUCAGAGGUGAAAUUCUUGGAUUUAUUGAAGACUAACUACUGCGAAAGCAUUUGCCAAGGAUGUUUUCAUUAAUCAAGAACGAAAGUUAGGGAUCGAAGACGAUCAGAUACCGUCGUAGUCUUAACCAUAAACUAUGCCGACUAGGAAUCAGACGAUGUUAAUUUUUAAUGUACUUCGUUUGCUACC
This 520-nucleotide unclassified non-coding RNA is filed under the name uncultured Entrophospora. RNAcentral describes it as "SSU rRNA". It matches the Rfam family "Eukaryotic small subunit ribosomal RNA", at positions 569 to 1087 of the family's 1831-position model. The record is from RNAcentral. Lineage: Eukaryota; Fungi; Glomeromycota; Glomeromycetes; Entrophosporales; Entrophosporaceae.